Molecule: long non-coding RNA, 548 nt
Organism: Bubalus bubalis (water buffalo)
Lineage: Eukaryota; Metazoa; Chordata; Mammalia; Artiodactyla; Bovidae
Exons: 4
Source: RefSeq, a predicted model, not a curated record
CACAACCAGAGAAAAGCCCGAGUAGCAAUGAAGAUCCAGCACAGCCAACACAGACAAAUAAAUAAAAAUUGAAAAUUGGUAUUAUUUUUCUCCAUGUUCCAACUUUUUAUUGUUUAUUCCUGAUUCCAUAGUGUCUUACAUGCUUUUUUGUCUUCCAAAUAUUCAAAUAUGUCCAGAGGCCUUUUUCUUCUCUAAAAAUCUGCUUCCUCCAGAUGGAAAUGAGUGUGUCCAUAUAGAUGCCACCUCUUGGAGAAUUGCUGGGAAACUUGGGUUCAGGAUUAUGUUCUCAGAGACAAGCACAGUUGCACGGGCGGCUAUAAAACUAUUUGGAUGGAUGAAACACUGGAUAAUAUUUACUGGAGGAAGUAUUCUUGAAGCCUGAGAGUCAGAUGACAGUCGGACUCAGAAACAGGAAACAGUUUGGUGCACUGGUCUGCCUCCUCUUCCUUCCUGCCACAGAAACAGUCUAUCGUUUCCUCACCUCCCUCAGCGUCUCUGUCCACAUAAACCACCGGCGAUGAGACUGGCUCUGGAGUUGCUUUGGGAAG